Molecule: ribosomal RNA, 434 nt
Filed under: uncultured bacterium
Lineage: Bacteria
Description: partial 16S ribosomal RNA
Rfam family: Bacterial small subunit ribosomal RNA
Source: RNAcentral
AGCGAACGCUGGCGGCAGGCCUAACACAUGCAAGUCGAACGAACCUUUCGGGGUUAGUGGCGGACGGGUGAGUAACACGUGGGAACGUGCCUUUAGGUUCGGAAUAACUCAGGGAAACUUGUGCUAAUACCGAAUGUGCCCUUCGGGGGAAAGAUUAAUCGCCUUUAGAGCGGCCCGCGUCUGAUUAGCUAGUUGGUUGAGGUAAUGGCUCACCAAGGCGACGAUCAGUAGCUGGUCUGAGAGGAUGAUCAGCCACAUUGGGACUGAGACACGGCCCAAACUCCUACGGGAGGCAGCAGUGGGGAAUCUUGCGCAAUGGGAGAAAGCCUGACGCAGCCAUGCCGCGUGAAUGAUGAAGGUCUUAGGAUUGUAAAAUUCUUUCACCGGGGACGAUAAUGACGGUACCCGGAGAAGAAGCCCCGGCUAACUUCGUG